Molecule: microRNA precursor, 101 nt
Filed under: Branchiostoma belcheri (Belcher's lancelet)
Lineage: Eukaryota; Metazoa; Chordata; Leptocardii; Amphioxiformes; Branchiostomatidae
Description: microRNA bbe-mir-31 precursor
Gene: bbe-mir-31
Rfam family: mir-31 microRNA precursor family (bases 8-90)
Source: miRBase by way of RNAcentral
UGCAGGGGGACGAGGAGAUGGCAAGAUGUUGGCAUAGCUGUUUACAGUUUCUGGUUCGGCUGUGCUGACAAACUGCCGUUUCCCGUUCACCCGAUUACAAC